Molecule: ribosomal RNA, 519 nt
Filed under: uncultured bacterium
Lineage: Bacteria
Description: partial 16S ribosomal RNA
Rfam family: Bacterial small subunit ribosomal RNA
Source: RNAcentral
GGGGAAUAUUGGACAAUGGGGGCAACCCUGAUCCAGCAAUGCCGCGUGUGUGAAGAAGGUUUUCGGAUUGUAAAGCACUUUCGACGGGGACGAUGAUGACGGUACCCGUAGAAGAAGCCCCGGCUAACUUCGUGCCAGCAGCCGCGGUAAUACGAAGGGGGCUAGCGUUGCUCGGAAUGACUGGGCGUAAAGGGCGUGUAGGCGGUUUGUACAGUCAGAUGUGAAAUCCCCGGGCUUAACCUGGGAGCUGCAUUUGAUACGUGCAGACUAGAGUGUGAGAGAGGGUUGUGGAAUUCCCAGUGUAGAGGUGAAAUUCGUAGAUAUUGGGAAGAACACCGGUGGCGAAGGCGGCAACCUGGCUCAUAACUGACGCUGAGGCGCGAAAGCGUGGGGAGCAAACAGGAUUAGAUACCCUGGUAGUCCACGCUGUAAACGAUGUGUGCUAGAUGUUGGGUAACUUAGUUAUUCAGUGUCGCAGUUAACGCGUUAAGCACACCGCCUGGGGAGUACGGCCGCAAG